AUAGCGUAUAUUAAAGUUGUUGCAGUUAAAAAGCUCGUAGUUGAACCUUGGGCCUGGCCGGCCGGUCUGCCUCACCGCAUGCACUGGUUUGGUUGGGCCUUUCCUUCUGGGGAGCCGCAUGUCCGUUACUGGAUGUGUUGGGGAACCAGGACUUUUACUUUGAAAAAAUUAGAGUGUUUAAAGCAGGCAUUGGCUCGAAUACAUUAGCAUGGAAUAAUAGAAUAGGACGCGUGGUUCUAUUUUGUUGGUUUCUAGGACCACCGUAAUGAUUAAUAGGGAUAGUCGGGGGCAUCAGUAUUCAAUCGUCAGAGGUGAAAUUCUUGGAUCGAUUGAAGACUAACUACUG
Molecule: ribosomal RNA, 346 nt
Filed under: uncultured eukaryote
Lineage: Eukaryota
Description: SSU rRNA
Rfam family: Eukaryotic small subunit ribosomal RNA
Source: RNAcentral